UUGCCUUAGUAACUGCGAGUGAAGCGGCAAGAGCUCAAAUUUGAAAUCUGGCACCUUCGGUGUCCGAGUUGUAAUUUGUAGAAGCAUCUUUUGGAUUGGUCCUUGCAUAUGUUCCUUGGAACAGGACAUCAUAGAGGGUGAGAAUCCCGUUCAUGGUGGGGAAUCCAAUUCUUUGUAAAGUGCUUUCGAAGAGUCGAGUUGUUUGGGAAUGCAGCUCUAAGUGGGUGGUAAAUUCCAUCUAAAGCUAAAUAUUGGCGAGAGACCGAUAGCGAACAAGUACAGUGAUGGAAAGAUGAAAAGAACUCCGAAAGGAGAGUGAAAAAGGACGUGAAAUUGUUGAAAGGGAAGUGCUUGAGAUCAGUCUUAAGGUUUAGUGAUCAGUCUUCCUUUUGGUUGGUGCACUCACUAUUUCUUAGGCCAACAUCAGUUUUCGCGGCAGGAUAAUGACAUUGGAAUGUGGCUCUUUCGGGAGUGUUAUAGCCUUUGUUGAUACUGCCUGCUUAGACUGAGGACCGCGCUUUUGCUAGGAUGUUGGCAUAAUGAUCUUAAGCA
This 552-nucleotide ribosomal RNA is filed under the name Lipomyces starkeyi. RNAcentral describes it as "partial 26S ribosomal RNA". It matches the Rfam family "Eukaryotic large subunit ribosomal RNA", at positions 75 to 646 of the family's 3401-position model. The record is from RNAcentral. Lineage: Eukaryota; Fungi; Ascomycota; Lipomycetes; Lipomycetales; Lipomycetaceae.